UACGGAAGGGGCAAGCGUUGUUCGGAAUCAUUGGGCGUAAAGGGCGCGUAGGUGGUUCUGUAUGUCUACCGUGAAAGCGUACGGCUCAACUGUAUUUUGUCGGUGGAAACUGCAGGACUUGAGGCUGGGAGGGGCUGGUGGAAUUCCCUGUGUAGCGGUGAAAUGCGUAGAGAUGGGGGAGAACACUCGUGGCGAAGGCGGCCAGCUAGACCAGUUCUGACACUGAGGCGCGACAGCGUGGGGAGCAAAUAGG
RNAcentral lists this ribosomal RNA (253 nucleotides) under uncultured bacterium. RNAcentral's name for it is "partial 16S ribosomal RNA". It matches the Rfam family "Bacterial small subunit ribosomal RNA", at positions 524 to 776 of the family's 1533-position model. The record is from RNAcentral.